CUCUUCUUUGCCCUCUCAUCCAGUUGUUAUCACAUGCUCCCAGCACCUCAUCCUUUCUGUUACAAAUUCCCUUAGAAUUCUCUAGGAUUUUCCAGCUCUAUUCCACAUCCCUAUCAAUACCACCCCUUCAAAAAUAGCAUUGUCCUUGAGGAUGUAUUGUAGAAACAAAAGCAGUAAUUCAAGCCGUGGUCUAUCUAGCACAUUCACCCAUUUCUCAUCGAGAAGAUCAAUCCAGUUCAUCCUAACAUUUGUUCCCUUUGCAGCAGCAGUACUCACUUUCCC
Molecule: unclassified non-coding RNA, 282 nt
Filed under: Hevea brasiliensis (rubber tree)
Lineage: Eukaryota; Viridiplantae; Streptophyta; Magnoliopsida; Malpighiales; Euphorbiaceae
Source: RNAcentral